Molecule: ribosomal RNA, 497 nt
Filed under: uncultured bacterium
Lineage: Bacteria
Description: partial 16S ribosomal RNA
Rfam family: Bacterial small subunit ribosomal RNA
Source: RNAcentral
GAUGAACGCUGGCGGCGUGCCUAAUACAUGCAAGUCGAGCGAACAGACGAGGAGCUUGCUCCUCUGACGUUAGCGGCGGACGGGUGAGUAACACGUGGAUAACCUACCUAUAAGACUGGGAUAACUUCGGGAAACCGGAGCUAAUACCGGAUAAUAUAUUGAACCGCAUGUUUCAAUAGUGAAAGACGGUUUUGCUGUCACUUAUAGAUGGAUCCGCGCCGCAUUAGCUAGUUGGUAAGGUAACGGCUUACCAAGGCAACGAUGCGUAGCCGACCUGAGAGGGUGAUCGGCCACACUGGAACUGAGACACGGUCCAGACUCCUACGGGAGGCAGCAGUAGGGAAUCUUCCGCAAUGGGCGAAAGCUUGACGGAGCAACGCCGCGUGAGUGAUGAAGGUCUUCGGAUCGUAAAACUCUGUUAUUAGGGAAGAACAAAUGUGUAAGUAACUAUGCACGUCUUGACGGUACCUAAUCAGAAAGCCACGGCUAACUACGUG